AUAUAUAUAUAUAGUAGGUCUUGUGUGCUAUUAGGAGCACGGAGGCCUCCGUGCUCCUAAGCCGUUUUCGAUGGUGGAGCUUUCGAAUCGACAAUCGGCUCCGUUAGACUUGAUCUAGUAUAUUUGAAGUAUCUAGAAAAUAAAUUGUGUGACUUUUCGAUAUCAUUUACCUAACGAUCAAAAUGGUUCAAAAUCAAUGGCAGAAAAUAAAAAUUUCAUAAAAAGUAGUAAUAUAGCAUUAAAAUUUUCAAUCAAACAUAUUGAUCUUGCUGUAAAUAGUAUAAAAAAUUUUCUAUCAAAAUUUCAUCUGAUUUGAAUACUUCUACACCGUUAAACUUGCAAACGGUAUACAUCAACCAUUAAAAAUUGUUGAUUUUGAACCAUUUUUAUUACUAGGAAAAUGAUACUGAAAAAUUACAAAAAAUAUUUUCUAGAUAGUUCAAAUACGCUAGAUCAAGCUUAACGGAGCCGAUCAUCGAUUCGGAAGCUCUAUCAUCAAAAACGGCUUAGGAGCACGAAGGUCUCCGUGCUCCUAAUAGCACACAAGACCUACUAUAUAUAUAUAUAUAGAACUAGGCUGAAAUACUAUCAAUAGCACCAAGGGCUUGGUGCUAUUAGUUUUUUAGCCCUUUGAUUGAGAAAUGUGUGGUUAUGAUGAUGUGGAUCCCCUAGGGUUGAGUGGGUGGUUGGUUGAAUAGUAUAAUCUAACAGAUAAAAAUAAUCAAAGAGUUAAAUCUAACGGUAGAAAACUCGAUAGCACCAUAUCCUUGGUGCUAUGACAGUAUCCCAGUCGGACUAUAUAUAUAUAGAGCUAGGCUGAUAUACUAUCGGUAACACGGAGACCACUGUGCUACCAAGUUGUUUUCAAUUGUGCGGCUUCCAAAUCGACGAUUGACUCUGUUAGACUUGAGCUACACUAUUGGAAGUAUUUGGAAACUAAAUUUCAUAAUUUUUCGACAUUAUUUACCUAUCAAACGAGUAGUCUAAAAAUGAACGGCUGAAAAUAAAAAUCUCAUAAAAAUUGAUGAUAAAAGAGUUGAAUUUAAGAUAAAAAAUACUAAUCUUACUCUAAAUAGUGAAAAAAAUUUCUAUAAAAAUUUUAUCAAAUUUAGAUUAUUUUACACCGUUAAAUUUACAAAUGUAUCACUUCUACCAUUAAAAUUGUUAAAUUUAAGAUAUUUUGAUCACUGGCCAAAUGACGUCGAAAAAUUACAUCGUCUAAUUAGUGAAUUCGAAAUUUGAGAUAAAAUUAGAUCAAAUUUUGAGUUCUAAGGAAGGCGUAGCUAUCACAUCCUAAAAGAUCUGGGAUGUGACACAUGACACAUAUGAAUUGGAAGCUCACCUUUGAAAAGUCCAAUAUGGACCAUAUGGUGACAUAGAGCAUUUUAUGUGAAUAGUUAUUAUAAUCCACGACAAAAAUAAUUUAAUUCAUAAAUAAAAUAAAAAUAAUAAUUUAAAAAAAUAUCAUAUCAGCUAUGUAAAAAAUUGUAAAAGUUUGUACAUUGGCAAAAAGCAUCCUAGUUGAAGAAAUUACCAUCGCAAGUAUAAAUUAGGCAAUCUUAUGAGUUAGCAUUAAUUAUUUGCCAACAUUUUUGUUCUCAAAGCUCUUUUACAAAUUAAUCCAAAAUUUGCCAUUGCCCUUUUUUUUAUUUUUUAUUUUUUAAAACGGAGAGCAUUUUCUCUGUUGACAUACGACCUCAAUCAACCAUUAUUUUUCGUUGAUCCUUUGGCUUCGGAGAGCAUUGAUGGAAGUGACACGUGAGAUCAGUACAAGGUGUUAUUCUUAUUGCGUAUUUUGAGUAUCUCUCUCUCUAAAGUACCGUUUGGUUCAGAAAUAAAUCAAAAAUAGCUAUUUAAGGAAUAAAUAUAAAUUGAGAUAUAAAUCUUAGUUAGUAAAUUCACGAAUUUUUGCCGAAUUAUUAGCAAAUUUUUGAAAAGACGAAUUAAACGGGCGUUUUCAUAUUUUUCCAAAAAAUUCAGAAAAAAACGCAAUUUUUUGGACAAAAAUACUUAUUCGCGAAUUAUUCGGGAUUCGCGAAUUAUUCAUUCAUAAAAAGGCCCGUGGGCCCGCUCUCGCAGCAAGAACGCGCUCGCGCGCGCUCGCGCGUGCGCCCGCGCUCGCUCCUGCGCGCGCUGGCUCGCGAGCCACGGGGCUCGUGGGCCUUGUGGGUCUUGUGGGCCUCGUGGCUCGCCCCAAACAGAUUAAAUAUAUAUAUAUAUAUACUAUAAUAUAUUUAUAUAUAUACACGUCGGCCCAAAAGAAAACAAAAAAAAUUUCUUUCCGGAAACUUUGCCCUCCUCUUCCCUUAAAAAAAAACAAAAAAAAAAAAAAGAAAAAUCAGUCGAUAAAAAAAAGUUUUAAGUCUCUUUAUAAACUAUCUUAAUCAUCUAGUUUUUACUUAAUUAUUUAUUUAUUUUGAAGGGUUAAUAUCAGUUGCUUUUUUUUCUUUUUAUUAAUUAGCUUAAUUUCUUUAGCUCUUUAAUUCUUAUAUUCCUAAGAAUAUAGUAUUUAUGCUAAUAACACUUAAAAAUCUGCAGAGGCGAAAAAACUGUAAUUUAAUAUGGACCCGAACCUUUUAAUUAUCCCAAAUUUUUAAUUGUUAUGACGAUAUAAUAUCGAUAUAAAUACGUUCGAAUAUUGGACGAAUUAUUUUUUAGCCGUCAAUUUUAACGAAUUUAAAAAUUAGAAGACGAAUUUUAUCCGAAUUAUAUCGUUACCGAAUCUUUCUGCGACAUCCCGAUUAACUAACGUAGAUAAACCGGAGAUUAAAUUAAGUUUUUACGUUUGGGGACUAAUGAAAAUUACGGUACUAUUCCCUGAAAGGUUAAAAAAAAUAGGUUUGGUUUCGUACGAUGGCAAUAAGAAUUAAAAAGUGGGGCGUAGUAUAUAAAUAAAUAAUGAUAUUUAUCCUUCUCAUUUAAUUAUUGGAAUUUGAAUUUUUAAACUAUUUACUUAUAUUUUUAAAAUUUAGAAUUUAAACUUUUAAAUUUCCAAAUUUUGAAUGUAAAUUUAAAAUUAAAAUCUCAAAAUUAAAUUUUAAAUUUUAAAUUUUAAAUUUUUAUUUUUAAAUAUCAUACUUUAACAUUUUUAAGGAUUCAAUAUUUAAUUUUGAAAAUAUGAAAUAUAUAAUAUUUAAAAAUUUCAAAAUUUAAAAUAGUCAAAUUUUACACACUCUUUAACAUUCUUACACAUUUUUAAACUACUUUUCCGCAACAACAAUCCCCCACACAGAAUACGCGUCACCCGGGCACACAAUUAAAUACCAACAAAAUACAUUCUACUCUCUACAUAAAUUAUAUACAAACUAAUUUCGCAUAACAAUAAACUGUCUAUUCUCUUAAAAAUCUUCCAUACUAAUUUUUAUAAUUAUUAAUAAAUUAAUAAUUUUUUUAAAAUUCUACUUAAACAUUAAAUUUAAUAAAAAUAAUAUUAUCCUAUAAUAAUUAUACAUAUAAUUUAUUUUAAUAUUUUUAAUAUCCUUAAAUAUAACAUAAUCAUAUAUUAAUAUAGUUACAAUUAAUAAUUUCUUAAAAUAAGAAAUUAAUAUAGUUAUAAUAAUCAUAACAUUAUAUUUAUAAUAACUUUAAGUUUAUAAUUUAAUUUUAUAAUUUUAAAUAAAAAGCUUUGAAACUCAAAUAUUGGCAAUAAUACUAAUUCAUCAACUGGAUUAAAUACGUAAUUCCCAUUGCUAAUUACCUUGAUAGGCGGAAUAGCAAGAUUUAAUCCAGGGAUCAAAAAUAUUCCGGCCAAAAAUUAUUUAGGUUGUGGCGAAAUUCAUAGAGGGAUAACUUUGCGUUUAUCCCCGCUAUACCGCACAACCAACACGAGGAGCUAUAAUUUGUCAUGAAAUGACAUUGCAUAUUCAUGUAUUUAUAGCAUUACAUUCUCUUCUACCUGUAUAAUUACACCUAUUCUUCUAUUCUACUAUACCUAUAUAUAUACCUACUAUAAUAUAAUAUAGAGACCACCCGAGAGAACGACGGACUCCCAAAACCCCCAACCUGAGCCGAGAACCGAGAGACCAGAACCCCGGAAGAGAGAGAUUAUGUACUAUAUAUCAAUAGACUAUCGGCUGGAAACUAGCUUGUGGUGCUAUUGUACUAUAAUUUGCUAAUUACAAACUGCUGGAGACAUCAGAUAGCCAAAUUCAGAAGGGCUUCGUGCUAUUCAGUUUUUAGCCCUUAUAUGGGAGAAAUGUGCAGUUAGGAUGAUGUGGGUCCCUGGGUUGAGGUGGUGGUUGGUUGAAUAAGUAUACAUCUACACGGGAUAAAAAUAAUCAAGGAGUACUAUCUAACGGUGGAAAAACGCAAUAGCACCAAAUCUAUCUUAGGUGCAUAUCGACAUAUCCCAGGCGAUAUAUAUAAUAUAUUAUAUAGCUAUAUAGUAUUAUAUAAUAUAUAGAUUAUAUAUAUAGAAGUAGAGCUAAGAAGUACUUGAUGAAAAGUAUCCACCAAGUCGAUAACUUAUGUGUUUUAUAGCCUUGCGAUGAGAGAUGGUGAGGUGAAUGAUGGUGGUAGGUGGCGGUAGGUGGAACGGCAAUGUUGGUGAAUAGUGUAUUCACCAAGAUAUUAGUAAUCAAAGUAGAUCCAAGUAUAUAUUAUAUUAUAUAUAUAUAUAAUUAUUAUAUAAGAGAGAGAGAGAGAGAGAGAGAGAGCUAGGCUGAUAUACUAUCGGUAGCACAGUGACCUCCGUGCUACCAAGUUGUUUUUAAUUAUGCAGCUUCCAAAUCGACGAUCGACUCUGUUAGACUUGAUCUAUACUAUUGAAAGUUUUUGAAAACUAAAUUUCAUAAUUUUUCGGCAUUAUUUACCUAUCAAAUGAGUAGUCUAAAAAUGAACAGCUGAAAAUAAAAAUCUCAUAAAAAUUGAUGAUAAAAGAGUUGAAUUUAAGAUCAGAAAUACUAAUCUUACUCUAAAUAGUGAACAAAAAAGUUUUAUAAAAAUUUUAUCAAAUUUGAAUUGUUUCACAAAUGCAUCACUUCUAUCAUUAAAAUUGUUAAAUUUGAAACAUUUUAAUCACUGGCCAAAUAAUGUGGAAAAAUUACAUCGUCUAAUUAAUGAAUUCGAAAUUUGAGAUUAAAUUAGAUCAAAUUUUGAGUUCUGAGGAAGGCGUAGCUAUCACAUCCUAAAAGAUCUGGGAUGUGACACAUGACACAUAUGAAUUGGAAGCUCACCUUGGAAAAGUCCAAUAUGGACCAUAUGGUGACAGAGAACAUUUUAUGUGAAUAGUUAUUAUAAUCCACCACAAAAAUAAUUUAAUUCAUAAAUAAAAAUAAUAAUAAUAAUAAUUAAAAAAAAAAUCAUAUCAGCUAUGUAAAAAAUUGUAGAAGCUUGUACAUUGGCAAAGCAUCCUAGUUGAAGAAAUUACCAUCUAACAUUUAUCUUUAGACUAUUACCAUAGUAAGAUCAAUGUCAAACAUGCAUAACUUCCAUUAACAUCAAAAAUUUCUAUUACAAGUGCAGAUUUUUUCACUAACUUGUAUUUCAGAAAACUUUCUACUCCCUCCAAGGCACAAGAAACUGCACAUCACACAGAAUAUAGGGUAAAUUUUCUCUAGAAUUAUAUCUAUGUUGCCAUGCAAAUUAUAUAUCCCUCGAGAAACUUUAGAAAAAGGCAAUAUCAUAUCUUUUCCAAGCUCUUGAAUAUCAACAUUGAGGUAAACAAACCAUUUACCAUACACAGGUGCAUGGCAUAAUAUUAAACUGGAAAUUAAUACAACCCUGAUGAAGGAUCUACUUCAGAUUAUAUAUGGGGCCAAAGAAGAUUUUUCAAGAUCCGACACGAUUCCUUGUGGCUUGAAUUACAAUAUCUCCGUUUGCAUAGUGCUCUCUGCAGACCGGCAUGUAGACAUCGGCGCCUCCGAUGAGUUCGGUUUGCGUCUCCUUCGUCUUCCUCAAGGUAAAGAAAGCGCGGCGACCGCAUAGUUGACAACAUGCCGUGAGCUUCGUGACGGUAUCAGCUAAGGGAAUGAUGUCGAGAACUGAGCCAAAUUUUUUUCUGCAACAGAGAUUCUAUCAACGUUAUAUUCUAAAAACUUAAGCCGUUAGAGAACGGUAUUUAUAUAUAUUUUUAUAUUUAACAUGAAGGGUAAUAAUGUAGAGCAGUCAUCAUAAUGGUAACAUAUAUACUACAGGCCAUUUCGAAAUGUAACCCCUCAAAUUUGUUUCUAUGCACAAGCCAACUAGUUAGUCUUUCAUCCCCAGAUGAAAAAGAAGAACAACAUAUUAGCUUAAAAGAAUAGGUGCAGUAAGAGGAUGGCCGUCAUAUCAGUUUUCAGUAUUUGCUAAAGAGAGUUAGUAUGUCACUAUCGGGAGGCAUUUACUUCAAAUAAAGACGGGGACCAUGAAUUGUCCAGAAAUUUACCUUAAGUAGUCGCCAUCGAGGCCAGCCACGAUAACUAUCUUCCCGUCAUGAUCAGCUGCGCUGCAGCAGAAUUCAUACAGAUCUUCGAAGAAUUGGGCUUCGUCAAUCCCUAUAACAUCCAGCUGCAAAAUCAUGUUGUUAGCAGAAAAAAUGCAAAAGAAUAAAACUAAAAGAAAUGGAAACCGGAUAUUUAUGGUGAUCAACCUAUGACUAGUGAUGUACUCGGAGAACUUUUGAGAGGAGAUGAAGAACCGUUUUUGCUCGUCGAUUUUAAAAGUUUAGAACAAAUUAAGAGCAUAAUAAAAGAAAUUUGACUAAACAUUCCUAGGAGUUCACACUAGAUUAAUAGACUAAUUAGUAUCAGAAGAUUAUUUAGAGAGGUCAAAUAUCACAACAACAGAUAAUCAACAUCAAAAAACAGUUAAAGAGCACCUUUCCUGCAGCUAACAAUAGGAGGUUGGGCUGAUCCAAUGCGCGAAAGCGUAAAAUGUAGCUAUAAGUACAAGCUGGCUUUAUGAUGCUUUGCACAUUGUAAUCAAGUUUCUCAAGAAAUACUGAGUUGUUAAGGCAGCUUCUUUGAACAUUCAAAAAUAGAUAUAAAUGUUCUAAAGACAUCAUAGUAAAGCAAAUGACAAAUAAGAAGAGUUUACCUCUGUUGGGAAUUCAAAUGUGAAUAAUCACAUGUUGGACAAUUAAUACGAGAGGAAAUGAUUGAUGUUAUUAAUGGGCCCAGAUCUAAUGGGCUUAAACUUUUGGGUUGGGUGAGUUAUGUCAGAUAUGUCAUAUCCGACUUAUGAUACUUAAGAACUUUUUAUUUGAAAUCAACAUGAUUUUAAGAUCUGCAUAAUCAGCGAAUACCCCAAUAGCCCAAUGUGGAGUAGGUGGAACUAGACACAAAUGAGGUAGCUAGUCAAAGGACCUAAUCCAAAGUUUUAACUUACAAUUUUCUACUCGACACCUUUCUGGGAUCAUAAGGCUUGGCUAAUGGCAUGCUGAACCCUACAGUGAUAUCACGGUCCGAUAACGAACCCCUAUACCCGGAACGAGGCAAGCUCGAUACUUGUUAUACACUCAUGGUUGUCUAGUAGCCAAGGUGAUCCUGCAAAAUGAACCUUCCUAUAUCCUAGGCUAUUGGAAUGCUGUUAGACAGUCACCUCGCAACAAACAUUUAUACAAAUGAUUUCUAUUUACUCAACCAAUUAAAUAAUGUGAACUUGAAGUCGAGCAAACAUGCAUUUUCGGUAUAACCAUAUAGAUAUCAAGAUAUGGUUGAAAUUCUUUUGACAACAUAAUAGUAACACAAUCAACUGACAAUAGUCUCAGGUAUAACCAGAACUAAAUUUUAACUCUUCAUCACUUGCAAGAAUCGAUGAAAUAUCAUUAAAAUUCUAAAUAUCGAAGUUACUACUUAAUAAACAGACAGAAAGCGUAUAGACCUUACCUAUCUACUUGAAAGUUUAAAGGCAAAUUAUAUAAAUUCUUUUUUUUUCUUUGUUAGGUGGUCCAAAUGCCUAAUAAUAUAGGCUUGCACCUCUCAAAGCUGUCGGUGAGCAUUACCUGGAGUGGAUGGGUUGGUCUAACUGCCUAGGCGGUCGCUUCUGAAUUAUCAAGGCUGUUUUCUGUGUCAGCUAUGCCUACGAUCAUAUCUUAACCAGCAAAAUGUGGAGAUCUGAAAACAGUGAUGUUCACUCGACCGAUUGACAAGUAAUCAAUCAAUGCUAUCUGAUGGUCUACUAUAAUUGUUAAAAUCGGAACGGCGAAAAAUAGAUCCAGAAAAUAAUUUAAUGCAAGAAAAGAAAAGAUAAGGAAAGAACACACCGAUAUUUACGUGGUUCGGCCAACGGCCUACGUCCACGGACAAAGACGAAGCAAAUAAUUUAUUAAUGUCGAAAAGGCGAAGUACAAGAAAACCUCUCAAAGACCAAAAAAACUUAAUUAGAUCGAAACGCCGCAACAACGCAACUCCAAAUAACCGGCUGGCUCCUUCACCCGUACGGAAUACCAAGAUGCUUCUUAAUUAAAUAGCUUGGAUCUUCAUAGAAACAAUGCACAGCUUCUCUUCUUUGGCUUAAAGCUGCUCAUUCAUCCUCAACCGUACGGACCAUCAACACUUUAAUUAGUGCAUGGCUUAAUUAGAGCCACCAGACCACCAACCCGAAGAAGCAUGUACGGCUUGGACUUAAUUAGGCGUGCCUUCUUAAUUAGAGAUCCGGCUUCUCCGUCCGACUACCAACAUGCUCUUAAUUAAUUUGCAUGGCUUCUUAAUUUUUGGUCGCGGCUUCAUUAAUUUGGCCAUAGCAUGUAUUUAUAAUACAUGUCUCCUAAAUAGAGUCUAAUCCUAAUNAUUUAUAAUACAUGUCUCCUAAAUUAUAUCCAAUCCCAAUUAGAUUAGGAUUUAACUCCAAUUAAGAUAACUAUAAAUCUAAACCAAAUAUAACAAUAAUUAUAGAAUCCUGAAUCGAUUAGUUUCUGCUUAUAAACUCUCCAAUCCAAGUAAAACUAUGUGGUAGUUUACUCUUGCAUCAGUAUUGAAUGAAGGUUGAAACCAGAAUUGAAUCUGCACAAGACCCAUAUAAGUUUAUCUCUUUCCUGGAAGAUUCUAUUCCUCCGAAGAUUCAGAGAUUAGGAUGAGUCCUUCCCCCCACAAGUAAAAUGCUUCUUAGAUCCGGCAAGUAGAGAUAGCAGGAAAUACCAUAUCAUUUAGGUAAAGAUAAUAUGGUUUACCAUCUUCUCACAACUGUGUCCAUUGUCCGUACUAAUCCGCAGUAAGAAAUGAUAAUAAAGCAACCAUACAAAGAAAAGACACAAAAUCACCAAUAAUGCAAGUUCUACAGAGAUAUCAAGAGAAUAUGCAUGUACACAAACUAAUACAGUAUAUUACAGUAUAUAAGUUAAUUGAGAAUUGUUCAAUAUUAUUAAGGCAGCAAAGCUUGAACUAUGACGCAAUUACUAGACAUGGAAUGAGAUCGCUAACUUACAACAUACCUUACCAUAGGCCUCAGCUCCAAGUUUAUCCCGAAACAUUGAAAGCUCGGCCAGAGCCCAGCACGGCAUCUUUGCCCCGUCAUGUGUCACUGCACAGUUCAAUCCAUACCUCAUAUCCUUGCUAGAUUUUAUAAUCACUGCAGUUCUGCUUGCAAAAAAGCAGUUAAAGUAGCAAGACAACCCACAGUCAUAACUGAUUCAAGUCGAGAUUUACUAUUGCAAGUACAUGACACUAUAGGAGUAUUUUUUGUAUUAAAAUCACAGAAACAAACUACCUUUUUUUCAUUUAUCCAGUAAUUAUAGUAUGACGUGGAAGGUGCCGAUAACUUUCUUUUUUCCUUCGCAAUUUAGCCCAUGACGCUUAAUUCGGUGCAAAUCUUGCUAAUAACCGAUUUCUAGCUUGUUUGAUCUGGUGUAAAAAAUUAAAUUCGGCCUGAAAAUUUUGAUAUGGUAGAGAAAAGUCACCGCAAAUUUAAACAUUCGGCAAACUUUCUGCACCAAAUCGAUCAUUACAGGCCAAACUACGACGACAGCUGCUCCUCUACAAGAGGCACUUCAGUAGAUCCUUAAAUGGGUAGUAAAUUUAUGGUCUGCUCGUUUCUUCAACUAAGCUCUCUCUCUCUCUCUUGUUAGGUGUGUGCAUUUUGAUCACAUCGAUUUGUAUCUUAUUCUUUAUUCAGGAUAGGGGAGACAUGUUUGCUUGAAUUGUUGCCUGAGGUGCUUGCGGCAUCUCUAUUAUGCUUCUCUUUGUAAGUUUUUUCUCUUUCACUAAAAAUGCUAAGGGAAUCAUCCUAUGUUUUAAUUUCAAAAAGAAAAAGAACAAUGAUAGCGAGUUUCUAACAUCAAACUAAAGUGAGUGGAAUUUUCUCAAUUAUGAAAAAAAAAGAGUUUGGGAGUUUAUCUAAUUUUAAACACAACUUUUUUCUACAAAAUUCCAAAAAAAGGCAGCAAAGUUCCGCUUAUUCAUUAUACAAGAAUCCACUAAUAAAGAAUAUCCCAUAACAGGGAACAGAGCAAGAAAAACUAACAGACUCUCUACAGGCUAUUUUGAAUUAGACCCUUCGACUUUAUUCUUUUUGAUUGACACCGAUUUCAACUUUUAUUUUCUUUCAUUCGAGCGAUUCCAAUAAACCAAAUUAGAUUCUGUUAAUAAAUUGACGGCUAACAAUUGAUGGAACUAUUAAAUUUACCGAAACCUCCGACUUAACUAACUAAAAUAGUUCCAAUAAAAGAAAUUUGAGGAGUACUCUAUUUCAAAGAGUAAUGCUAUUAUAUGAAAAGCGCAAACUCUUUGUGCUUGUUAGUGAUAAACCCUAAAGCCAAUCGGUGACAUAAGCUUGUGGAUAUAUUAAGUAUUUUUCUUAAUUAAUAAAGGGCAAGUUUUAUUCAUAUUUAUUGUUCGCAGUACAAUAUAUAUAUAUGAAUCGUCCGUUGAAUCUUCGUUAAGAAAAUAUAUUCCUAAGAGUUANCUUGAAUAGUGACCGCUCGUAUCUUGGUACACUGUCAAGUUGGUUUAUCAGUGCGAGUCACAUGAACAACAGGGAUGUGAUCACUGAACUCUAAGCAGUAUUGCUACAGUUGUGUGAAGUACUCCUUGGACCUAAGGCAUCAUAGUUGCUUCACGUAUAGGUUGCUACAGUUUAACAGUACUAAUACUUAGACUCUAGACACGGGUUUAUGUUCGGUACUGAUUGGCUAUAGUGAUUUAUAUGGGGAGGCAUGUGAGUGCGCAAUAAGGAAUUCAACACUCUCAAUAUUGAGAGAGAACGUCCUAUGUAGACUAUCAGACUCGAUUCGAAAAAUCCCUGGCCAGGGUAUGUGGUGUAUGGAAAGAGUUUCCAGAUGUGUUACCAUAUUGAAUCGGUUCUAGAUAUUCUAGUCAUAUGAUCGAAUAAUAAGAUUUGGCGAGUAACCAUAAUUUUGGUUCGAUCGGGACGUUGUGUGUUGAAAGGAAUUAAUCAUACGGUAACUGUAAGCGGAAAGGUUCAUUCUUCAUCACCAUUCUGGAUUGUCGUGAUAUACUGCUAGGUGUCACUCACGGACGGUGAGAGAAUAUGAAUGAUUAGAAUUUAAUUAUUCUUAUUUAUCGAUUAGAAGGGUUCUAAUUAAAUAUCAAAGAGUUUGAUAUUUAGCUCCACUGCCGAAUGGUAAUGAACCUAUGCGGUCACACACAAUAGGAAUUGUGUGCAUCCAACAGGACAAGAUGAGAAUAAUACACUAAACGGUUUAGUGAAAAUAGUGAGGAUUAUAAUUUGAAUGUUACGAAAGAUUUUAUCUCUAAUUAGAUUAGAGAAUAACUGAAUAUUCAUAAAUUAUUAUGAGAUAAUAUUCUAAUUAAAUUAGAUUUAAAUAUGAAUAUUUAGUUAUAAUAGAUAUGAUCUAAUUAAAGGGAGAGAUAAUAAAAUAUCCUAUGUUCCAACUAAUUGGAUGUAAUCCUUAGUUGGAUGUAAUCCAAUUAGUUGCAACAGAUAGUAUAGAAUUAUAACUAAUUGAAAAUUAUCAAAUUGGGAUUGUAACUAUUUGAAUAUAAUUAGUUACAACAAAUAUGGCUGGCCUAAGAUACGGCUCAAUUAAGAAGCCGUUUCGUACGGCUCUUUGUUGGUACUCCUUAAUUAAGCAGAGCUAUAUAUAUAUAGCUUAGCUGCGGCUUCAUUAAGGUGAUGAGAUAUCAUUAAUUGACGUGAAUAGGAUUCAAAUAUUCUUCUCUCUCAAACUUUCGUAAGUCCACAAUAAUUUUCACAAGAAGGAACGUAGACAUCGGAAGACUGCUAGCACCGUCUUCGUGAUCUGCGACUCAUCUGUUCCAUACGACGGAAGGCGUUGGAUCGGGAUCAAUUCCGUGUGGAUACGCGUAGAGGCCGGGCACGUGCGCGGCUAAUCGGAGGAUCAACUUCAACCGUACAGUAGAUCAAGAGACCUUAACUGGUCCAAGGUAAUGUAAUCUAAACUUCGGAUUUGUUUAGAUUAGAUUUUAUUUUACAUUGUAACAUGAGAAUGAUCCGCCGGCACUGGAUUGAUUUGUUUUGUUUUGUUUCAUAUGUGAUAUGGAUUUCGUUUUCGUUUUUCCGCUGCGAUUUUUUAAGUGCCGGAUAUAUUUUCUAACAGUGGUAUCAGAGACGAUUCUCAUGUUCUUUGUAAAAUACUAAUGAUCUGUAUGGUUUAAUUGAAAUUUUGGAACUUUUUCGAUUAGAUCGAAAUUAUUUUUCUUAAAUUGCACGUACUGCGAUUUAUUGUUUUAAUACAAUAAAAAAUAUAAAUACGUGGAGAUUUGAGAAAAAUAUAUUAUUGAGUUCCAAAACUUUUAAUCGAUGUUUAGAUCGAUUUGGUUAUUAUUAUCCGCAUAGUUGUUAAGAUGGGUGAUGAUCAUGGACCUUAGACAUCUGUGAUGUGAUUGUGGAUGUAUUUGUAAUUUGAUCAUAGGGUGUGUUUGUAAUUUAAUUGUGGAUGUAUAUAUUUUUUUUUUAUCACGAAGGGCCUGCGUGCCAAUUUAUUGGGAUCCGUGAAUCCUUGUAAUUUAAUUAGAGAAAAUUAGGAUUUUGGAGAAGGAUCCAUAUCGAGCGUUGAUGGANNNNNNNNNNNNNNNNNNNNNNNNNNNNNNNNNNNNNNNNNNNNNNNNNNNNNNNNNNNNNNNNNNNNNNNNNNNNNNNNNNNNNNNNNNNNNNNNNNNNGGGAUUGAUCGGGUGAGGGUUAGGGAGAAAAUUAAUUAAUUAGAUACUAAUUAAGUAACAAAAUGCCGCCGAAUCCCUCGAAGAUAGGAAUUUACGAAAAGGUCCAAACUUAAUAAGAAUAUGAGUCAAAUAAAGAAGUUUAAAAGUACGGGGUGUUACAUUCUCCCCUCCUAAAAAGAAGUUUAGUCCUCUAAACUUAACAUAUCUUAGCUCUCGAAGGACUAAGGAUGCAUCAUUCUCGUCUGCUCUUCGAGCUCCUAAGUAGCUUCCCGCUCAGAAUGGUUGCAUUACGGAACUACUAGCAUAAAUCAAGAUAUUGUCUACUCAGACAAUACUCCUACAAAUGCGAUCAAUCACAAGCUCAUCCCCGAAAGGCGCCCGACACAUAAAAAUAUAAACAAAGGGCUCGGAGGUUAACAAAUGAUUUCGAACAAAAGCAAAAGAGGUAAAGAAAUAAGUAGUUCUAGAAUCAAAGAGAACACGAGCAAAAACAGAAGCUAUGGAAAGAAUACCAGGGACUACAGCAUUAGAUGCCUGAACAUCCUGCUGGGAAAGAGCCUGAACAUGACCCUGCGUCCGAGGUCUUCCACCUCUGGACUGAUCGGUAGGAGGGAUAUGAUCACGACCGGCUGAAGUAGUAGAUUUCUCUUGAGGCUUAGAUCCAGUACUAGCAUCAAUGCUAAGCAGGGGACACUGAGCUAUCCGGUGGUUCAAAUCCCCACAUCUGAAACUGUAAGGGAAGUGAAUCCUCGAAAUCUGGGUAUUAGACUUCGAUUGAAUCGACUAUUUGUCGAGUGUGUAAGCUUCGGAAAGUCCGAAAGUGAUUAUAAUGCAUAAAGUGCAUUAAGGAAGGGUCCACGAGAGCACCAGUGCAAAAUCUGCACUGGAGCAGAAAUGCUCUCGGGGACCGGUCCCUGGCAGGGAGGGACCGGUCCCAUCGGGCUGGGCUGCGGGGGUCUUUGAUGAGACCGGUCCCUGGCAGCGCCUCAGACGACCGCAGCGCCUCAGACGAACCCUUCAGCUUUUGCUCCACCUCUGCAGCAGACUAUUAGUACGGGGAUGCCUUCAACGGCUGCUCCCACUACCUUUUCAUUUUCGCUGUCUACUGUACAUCCUAUUUUUGUUCCGCCGCUGCCACAAACCACUAUUCCCACCCACUCCGCCACUUUACCUCAGAGCACCACGAUGGAUCCCCUGGUUGCCACCUUAAUUCAAGCUGUUGUCGGGCUAGUUCAGACUCAGCAACAGAAUUUGCAUCAGAAUCCCGUUCCUAGUGACGCUGAGUCGAAUUCCAGAGUUCGAGAGAGGAGCAUCAAUGAGUUUAAGAAAUCUGCACCGCCCCCUUUUUCAGGCACUACAAAUUCGGAUGAAGCGAAAAAUUGGAUCAAAGAGAUGGAGAAGGCAUUUUCAGCCAUGCAAUGCACCGAUGAGGAGAAAGUCAGAUUCGGGACAUUCAUACUUCAAGGCAGAGCAAAUAAUUGGUGGGAAAGCGAGUUGAGAACUCGCGGAAAUAACUUAGCAGCCCUUUCAUGGAAGGAUUUUCGAUCAUCAUUUAAUGCAAAGUACUUCCCAAGGAGCAAGCUUCGCCAGCUUGAAAGACAAUAUCUGGAUUUGAAGCAGGGUUCGAUGUCUGUGGAGGAGUACGAGGCCGAGUUUGACCGACUGUCCCACUUCGCCCCAAAAUUGGUAAAUGAUAAUGAGUCACGAGCUAAGAGAUUUGAGGAAGGAUUGAAUGGACAUAUUCGCACUGGUCUCGCACCGCUACACCUUGAGGCAUAUGAUGAUGUCGUUUCCAGAGCAAAAUCUUUGGAUUCAGUAUGGAGGCAGACUCGAGAAGAGCGAAAUGCAAAUCAGAAGAAGAGAAAUAGAGAUUCUUUCAGAGAAGGUGAUCGAAAUGCAAAAGAAGUUGACGGAUCUAAUGACUCGGGGAGGUCGCGUAAUACGCCAACUCGUGGUGGACAACCAAAUCGAGAUCAGAAGCUAAAAUGUUCAGUUUGUGGUGGAUGACAUAAAGAUACGGACUGCAGGCACGUCACCGGUGGUUGUUUCUGUCACGCCCCCCCGCCCCGAGGCCCAUACCAAUUUGGUCUGGUUCGGGCGCGGCGAACGGACCGCCGAACAGACAGCACCUCCCCUGUCCGCCCAAGGCUCAACCGACUAGAUUGUGUACAACAAGUUCCCAGGAAAUAACUUGAAUACAUACACAAUUAUACAACAACAACGAGAGCACAUACAGUGCUACACCGUACGAGAGCAAGCAUCACAAGUAAUACAACCAUACAAGUGAGAGAAAGAGAGAUACUUAACUAUUUUAUUACAUCCAUUCAACUCUUUAUACAAUUAUUACAAUUUGCAUUCUUCCAAACCUGUACAUCAUAUACAAUCCUCUCAAACCUCACCCUAUACAUCAAUCUACUCUCAAAAUAGGUACAGGGUGUAACUAAUGCAUAAAGGAAAGUAAACCUCUACUCAUAUCACUAGCGCGCUACGCCCUUGUCGCGAUCCUCACUAGGGGAGCUCAAACUCGGACCUGCAACAUGGUGGAGUGAGAACUACGAAUAGUUCCUAGUGGGUUCGGCCGCCGACUCUGCCGAUCUCCCCACUAGGUCUAAGCAGGCACAGAUAGAUAUGCAGAUAGAAAGGUAUAUGGAACUGAAAGCAUUAGCAGUAAUGAGCAGCUAUGAACUAGGAUCUAUCAAUGCCUCAAUCCAAUAGAAUGCAUGCAUGGAACUCAUAGUAAGAAGGCCAGCUAUCAUACUACUAUGUUCAACAACGAAGUUAUUCAUCCGAUUACCCAAUCUCUCGGCGAACGCAAGGCUCGCUCACAGUCUCACGUGUGUAAGUCUCAUAGGGGAGGAGGCUAGCAAUUCACCUACCCCGAGACCGCCUGCGGACACUACACUGGUCCAAGGGCACCACACUGGCCCCCUCGCGUGCCAACCUCCGGAGUGCACUACCCGUGAGGAGCUACCUCCACAGGUGCAGACAGGCUAAGUGAGCUCGAUCCAAUCUCAUAAACUGGGAACACCCUAACCAACUAAGAUUGGUGUCACGAUAGAAUCAGGUGUUCUUCUGCUCAAUCUCAUAGUGUCUCAACUACACUAAAGUUCUCAAGUUCAAUGUCAACUAGAUGCCACUCAUUCUGGGUUUAUUGUUAACUAGAUGCCACUCGUUCUCAUUACACUAGUUUACAAAAUACUAGGUUCUUAUUCACAUAGACAUAUUUAUCACAUAUAGGGUGAACUAUCUCAUAGUGUUCAACUCAUGCAUACUAGGUUCUCAUUCAUUGUAUCCACAACCUAAACUAUCACUAGCAUGCAAGGAUAUGUACAAUCACAUUUAACACCCUAUAAUGCUAUAUUACAAUAUGUAAUUGAUCGACAAUAGAACUCAGACAUAAAGAGCAGUUCGACUGCUUCGGGAUGGCACUCCCCCACCUCGUGGCGCUGUCGCGACUCUUCGAAUGCGAUUCGCCGACUUUUCGAUGCCUCGUUGGCCUUCCAGGCGGGAACGAAGCUCCGAGGGUCUACUUUGACGAUAACUUCGUACUCACUCGACGGAUCGACGAACCAUCUUCGCCGACGCGUUUAGGGACCUAGCAAUUAGGUUUGCGACCACUCAAAUUAGAUCAAAACCCUAGCUUUGCCAAAAUCCCAAAUCGGAGCCCUAGGUCUAAAUAAUGGAGAAAUCCGCGGUGCGAGCUUCAAAUUCGAGCUCGAACCUUCUCCCUAGCUUCAAUAGGUUCCAUUCGAACCAAUUCUAAGCUAUAAAACCCUAGCUUGCAAAAUCCACCAUGAAAGGGUUUGAGGUUUACCUCAAUACCAAGCUCCCCGCUUGAGGAAGAGAAGAAGAUGAUCUUCUUCUUCUUCUUCUCAGUCUUCUCCUUCAUCUUUCUCUUCUUCCUCUCCUUCUUCUUCCACUCCUUCCUCUUCUCCUUCUUCUUUUCUUUCCUAGGGAGAGAGAGAGAGGGAAAGAGUGUGAGAGAGAGAGAGAGCAAAUGAGAGGGAGAGAGGGGUCCCCCAUCUCUCAUAUAAGCCACUUUGCAAAUAGCCCCCUCAACUUUUUCAUCCUCUGCAGCAGCCCUCACUGGGCAUUUUUGCAGUGAGGGACCGGUCCCAGCUCGGGGAGACCGGUCCCCGAGAGCCUUCCAUCUCGGCAGAGGGGAUUUCGCGUUCGGGAACCGGUCCCUUCCUGAGAGACCAGUCCCCGGGAGACCGGUCCUUGUCCGAGAGACCGGUUCCCGAGAGUUGGGUUUUCGGGACUUAGCCAAAUUUUGGAUAUUCUCGCUGGGCUAACGUUCGGGGACCGGUCCUCCGCUGCCAGGGGCCGGUCUCAUCAAAGACCCCCGCAGCCCAGCCCGAUGGGACCGGUCCCUCCCUGCCAGGGACCGGUCCCCGAGAGCAUUUCUGCUCCAGUGCAGAUUUUGCACUGGUGCUCUCGUGGACCCUUCCUUAAUGCACUUUAUGCAUUAUAAUCACUUUCGGACUUUCCGAAGCUUACACACUCGACAAAUAGUCGAUUCAAUCGAAGUCUAAUCCCCGGAUUUCGAGGAUUCACUUCCCUUACAGUUUCAGAUGUGGGGAUUUGAACCCCGGAUAGCUCAGUGUCCCCUGCUUAGCAUUGAUGCUAGUACUGGAUCUAAGCCUCAAGAGAAAUCUACUACUUCAGCAGGUCGUGAUCAUAUCCCUCCUACCGAUCAGUCCAGAGGUGGAAGACCUCGGACGCAGGGUCAUGUUCAGGCUCUUUCUCAGCAGGAUGUUCAGGCAUCUAAUGCUGUAGUCCCUGGUAUUCUUUCCAUAGCUUCUGUUUUUGCUCGUGCUCUCUUUGAUUCUAGAACUACUUAUUUCUUUACCUCUUUUGCUUUUGUUCGAAAUCAUUUGUUAACCUCCGAGCCCUUUGUUUAUAUUUUUAUGUGUCGGGCGCCUUUCGGGGAUGAGCUUGUGAUUGAUCGCAUUUGUAGGAGUAUUGUCUGAGUAGACAAUAUCUUGAUUUAUGCUAGUAGUUCCGUAAUGCAACCAUUCUGAGCGGGAAGCUACUUAGGAGCUCGAAGAGCAGACGAGAAUGAUGCAUCCUUAGUCCUUCGAGAGCUAAGAUAUGUUAAGUUUAGAGGACUAAACUUCUUUUUAGGAGGGGAGAAUGUAACACCCCGUACUUUUAAACUUCUUUAUUUGACUCAUAUUCUUAUUAAGUUUGGACCUUUUCGUAAAUUCCUAUCUUCGAGGGAUUCGGCGGCAUUUUGUUACUUAAUUAGUAUCUAAUUAAUUAAUUUUCUCCCUAACCCUCACCCGAUCAAUCCCUCUUUUUCCCCUCCCCUACGACUCGCUCUCUCUCUCUUCCUCACCAGUCACCGCAUCCGUACGACCUCUGUCGUUCCGCAAGUGCGCACGCGAUGCCAUCCGAUCGUCGCCGUCAUCCGUAGCCACCUCCGCCGCAAUCCUCUUUGGCCGUUAUUUUUGGUUUACUAUCGACGGCAUCCUGCCGUCAUCUUCACCAUUUUCGAGAAGGUUUUUCUCUUUCCCUUAUUUUAUCUCUAUAUCGAACCUUGUGAUCAUCCAACCUUCUUGUUUAUCGUUAUAUUAUUAUUUUGAAUACUUGCCUCAUGAUGAUCGAAAUUUAAAACUAUCAAAAUCUGAUUUGCUUUGAUCUAAAUAUGUGUUAUUCGAUCUAUCAUUUUAUCUUGUAUUCCUAUCUGAUUUAGUUAUAUAAAUCCUCCAUAUUCUGCAUGCUUCUUGUAAUGCUCCUUACAUGUUCGAUAAAAUGCCUAAGAGAGGGCGAACUUUGUUUUUGUUUCUAAUUCCGAUCCUAUCUUAUUGUAAAUUGCCUAUUAAUAUUUCAAUAUCUGAAAACCCUCUUUUCGAGCAUUAGACCCUUCGUUUAUUAUUUAAAACUUCAUUCAUCUUAUCUUGCUUCUUUGAAUAUUUUAGUUUUUGAAACUCUCAAUUCUCUUGAUUGUUAAUUCAGUUUCUUCGAGUUCAUUAUUCUAAAUCUCUUUCGUGCUCCGUCUUGCCCUUUUGCAUGCAUCUAUCGACCAUGUCACUACCCUGGAACAUCCGAAAUUCAAACUUUUGAUCAGCUUAGUCUAAUAUAUAUAUUUCUUUUAAUUAUUUACUAAAUAGCUAUAAGAAAUCGUACUAUCUCGAUCUUUAAGGUCCCGACCAUUAUCCGUGCCAAUUGAUUGAUAGCUCUUAACUUAAAGCCUCCUUUCGAGUAAACGACCGGCACACCCGAUGUUCUCAGUAAGAAAUUUAGAAAUAUAUCCCAUUGUAUAAAAAUCUAUUUUUGAACUUUAAAAAUUUAGGGGUUAGCCAUAUAUAUGAAAUAAUUUACCUAAAUUGACUUCAAACUGUGAUAUGACAAUAUCUUUUUAGCUAAAAUAAUUCUAUGAAACUCUGAUAAUCUGUCUGGUAAAUUAGUGACUGGAUAAUUUUGAAGUAAUAUGUCUCUGUAUUGCUAUCUAAUUUGGCCAUCGAAACCAUGUAUUUGUUCAAAGCGAGCUCGUCUUUAUUGGCACCUUCGUGUCCUCCCUAAUUUCGCCACCUUAGCUCUGUUCGCGCUACGGUCAUAUCUGUUUCACCUGCACCUCAAUGCUCCGUCGCCUGGCCUCCAUCGGUCCCUAUUUUGUUUACCUCGGCAGUCUUGAUCCUGCCAAUCCUGAAUCAUCAUACACUACGUUACGAUUGUCCGAGAACCGCUAAGAUCUCCCAAUCCUUUAUAGCGAAUAGACGAAAGCAAUUUAAAAAUUCAUAAAUUCAACACAAAUCUAAAUUUUUGAGGUAAAUCAGAUAAAUUCCUCUACAAAAUUUGGCAAACAAUUAACAAACCCAGCUCGUUAGCAAUUAAUUAUUCGUAUCAUCCCUCUUUAUUUGUAUGUAACUCAAUCAUAAUGUGGUGUAUUGUUGAUUAACACCAGGCUGAACCGCUUUGCUGCGGGUGGCUAACCCGAGUAAACGUUAGACUAGCUAUCUACCUUCGCAUCUCUAGCACUCUAUUAUAUUAUACCUAAACAUAUUAAUGUAGAAUAUUUUUUGGACAUCAUAAAUAUCGUUUGAUCUAUCUAUUUAUUCGUUAUCUGUACGUCCACUUUGUUAAUUAUGCAAUUAGUGGACCGAAUUAGGUGUUCUUGUAAACUUUAGUUACUAUAGAUUAAGAAUCAUGAUUAUAAUAACUUCACAUUUCUACUCUCAUCCUACUAUCUUUUGAAUUUAGUGGAAAAUUUGGUAGUCACCUUUUUGCUAGCUUCCGUGCUAUUCGUAACAGCCUUGACAUCUUUGCCAUCGUAGCAGUAUCGCCUCGUUACCAUCGAUUUGGGCGUGAAGAAGAAAAUUUGUCUACACCCGACCCCUAAGACAAUUAAACCGUUGGUCCAAAACCACAAGCCCAUAAAUGCUAACCAUCUAUCACUAGCAUAGGUCUCAAUAAACUGUCGAAUCAGUAUCCCAUCCGAUGUGGGACUCAUCGGGCGUGUGAAAACAUAGGGGUGUACGAUCAACCCACCUGUUCUAGACCCUGACUUCCCGGUCUUCCAAACAGAUCACAGACAAAGACAAACCAUCACCAUUACCAGGCGAUGAAAUUCUAGAGGUGGCUCCUACGGGUUCAAGAGGUGGCUCCCACCAAACCCGUUGGUGUAGCACUUUGUCCCGCAUAGUACUUAGUUCUCACACUUCCGGCUGGUAUUCGGCUCUGAUACCAAUUGCAACGACCCGACCCGCUAGCAACAAUAACUCGUUGGGCCCAAACCAUCGGCCCAAAAUGCUUAAGCCCAGUUAUUAUUACUAGCGUGUAGGUCUCAUAUAAACUGAUCGGAAUCAGUAUUCCAUCCGAUGUGGGACUAUUUCCUCCUCGUCGGGUCCAAACCAGAUCACAGACAGACAGAUCAGGACCAUUACCAGACGAUGUGAGAUUCUAGAGGUGGCUCCUACGGGUUCAAGAGGUGGCUUCCACCAAACACGUUGGUGUAGCACUUUGUCCCACAUAGCACUUAGUUCUCACACUUCCGGCUGGUAUUCGGCUCUGAUACCAAUUAUAAUGAUCCGACCCGCUAGCAACAAUAACUCGUUGGGCCAAACCACAGGCUCAAAAUGCUUAAGCCCAGUUAUUAUUACUAGCGUGUAGGUCUCAUAUAAACUGAUCGGAAUCAGUAUCCCAUCGAUGUGGGACUAUUGGGGGUGUUACACUUUUUAUGUAAUCUUUCUUUCCUCCUAUGAUCAGACAUGAUAAAUAGAAAGAUAUUAGAUAAUAUAUUAAUUAUUAUCUAUUCAUUCUUUUAUCUUUUAUUAUUCUAAUAUUUUCCUUAUCUACUGAGCGUUAAAAGAAUCUCCGUCAACCUCGUGCUUGCAGAAUCGUGAUUGUAGGAGGAGGAAUUCCGAUCGUACCUUGGGGUGAUUUUUUCAGUUAAUCCCAUACAUAAGAACAGGAAUACGCUUUCAGGUAAUGCCUCACAUGCUUCCAAAUAUGUCAAAUCUUUAUUUGAAUAUUUGUAUUUAUCUGUAAGUUCGAUUUUAUUUUUAUCACAAAAUAAGUUAGAUUUUAAUCACGAUCGAAAUUUUAGUGCAGCUUUUUCCUAACACAGGCAGCAUUGUGGGACUCCAAAAGGAAAGGACGGAAUUAGUUGAAUUUGAAAGAUCAAUAUCCGAAACCAUGCAAAGGGAAGGCUCUCGAUUAUUUACAUGGGUUAAACUACUUUCUAUAAAUCGAAUUUCUCUUAAGAUACGCAUUACCGUAUUUACUCGUUUAACUUUUCCGACAAUAUUCAAACUGAAAAUGAGCCAAAUAAAUAUCGAAGCCAGCUUGCUUAUCAAGUUGUCAAGCUCGCAUUGCGCAAACUUUCAAAGUGAAUCAAUUCAUACUCCAGUAAGCUCAGGCGGAAGCUACUUUGAUAAAUUUAAGGCUUGUUAAUGAGGCAAAAUAAAAUGCUACGUAGAGUGGAUUAUAUAUUCAUGAAUUAUUGUAAGCAUUGAUUCUUGGCUAAAUUACAGAAAAUCCCCCUGUAAUAACCCGCUUUUUCACUUUCCCCCCCUGACAUUUAAAAACCUACACUUUGCCCCCCUGUAAAAUAAAAAAUGUUCACAGGGGGGUUACGGUGUGUAAAAUGACCAUUUUGCCCCUCGCCAUUGUCGUCUUCUUCCCCAUCUUCCUCAGCCGCCCCUUCGUUCGGCCGCGAUUUCGACCUCAAUCGGCCGCGAUUUCUCUCCAUUUCUUUCUCCACCUGCUCAUCUUCUCCUCCUGCACCCUCGUCGCCCUCGAUUUCGGCGACAGUAGGAGAAAAUCGAGGUGGGCGACAGUAGGAGAAGGGCAAAAAAGGCGAAGGCGAGGCGGCGGAGGACGGCAAAAAGGAUGUGGGUGAGGGUGAGGCAGUGGAGGACGGCGAGGCGGCUAGGCCGCGAGGCGGCGAGGCGGCGGCGAGGUGGCGAGCCGGAGGGAGUCGAAGCAACAGGGAGAUGGCGGAGGGGUAUUUUCGGCAUAAAAAUAUAUUUUUUAACGGAACCCUGAAGGAAUCCUAACGGUAGGGGGUGAAGUGCACAUUUUUUAUUUUACAAGGGGGCAAAGUGUAGGUUUUUAAAUGUCAGGGAGGGAAAGUGAAAAAACGGGUUAUUACAAGGGAGUUUUCUGUAAUUUAGCCUUGAUUCUUCUAAGAAUGGGUUAUAUUCGUGGAUUAUUGUAAGCAUUGAUGUUUCUAUGCUCUACCGGGUUGCUACUCUACUUGUGGCCUUUGGUAGAUCGACACUUAGGAGGUCCCGGUUUCAUAAGCCAUUCAGAUGGGGGCAGCUGCUCACAGGCAAUUUACGGGGUAAUUAGAUUUUCGUCGAGUCUAACACUCUUUCUUUUUUCUUUUUUUAUAAGAGAAAAAUAUAACAUACUAUCUGCUUCAUGUAUAAGAAUGAUGAAUUAACCAUAAGGGGUGAGGAAGUAUAUCAUAAAAAAAAAAAAAAAAAAAAAAAAAAAAAAACAAAAACAACAACAACAACACACACUACAUUACAAAAAUAGUCGUUUGGGCGUGAUAGAUUCCUUCCACUGGGUCACCAACUGCUCGACCUUAUCCAUUGCCAACAAUGGAUUAGUGUUAACCUUUCGAAAGAUGAGACAGUUCGUUGCGUACCAGAUGACCCACCAGUAAGCCGACUAACCAAUUAAUCUGGAUUGAGAUGCCGGAGCACUGUUUCACUUAUCCCAUACUGAUCUCACGUCGUCCCCCAAAUCAUUUGACUGAACCCCUUCCACAGCCAUCAUGAUCAAAAAUCUACACACCAUGUACUGUGUAAAUAAAUGGUCCACCGUCUCCUCUUCGACCCCGCACAGCACAAAAACUAUAUUUCCCGUCCACCCUCUCUUUUGAAGAUUGGCUAUUGUAGGUGUCCUUUUCUUAAGUAUUAGCCAGAUGAACACUUUCACUUUGAGGAGUAUUUCGAAUCUCCACACCUUAGGUGCACGAACGUCCCUCAUGCCCUCAUCAUUCAGUGCUGAAUAAGUUGAUUUCACAGUGUACCUACUACUAGUACUCCACCGCCAAAUCACACUAUCCGGUCUCUCUUCUCCUGUCAGGCACUCGCUGGUUUUCAAGUUAAGAGUCUAACACUCUUUUAACUUUGAAAAGUUGUUAGCUCUUCAAGCUAAAGCUUGAUUUUAACAGUUUUAUUACUUCCUUCAAUGCCGAGACACCCAAUUUCUUAUAUUCUUUUCCCUUAUAUUGUUUUGUUCCUUAUCUCAAGAAUAAGAAGUUAAUGUUGCUAAUGCUGAGACAAAUAAACACAAUAAACGAGGACGGGCGUUGAUCAUUCGAAAAAGAACUCAAGAAGGCCUCCGGAGAUUACUGUGCAGAAGUGCGAUCAGUCUGAGAAGACGAGCAAUCAAACUCUGAUGGAGGAAUUAUUGCCUGCACUAGUCACAUUCGUACAACCUGUGCAGUGUGCACUACAUAGCUGCCCAUUCAAUGCCAUAUUUAAAUCACGAUCGUUGGUAGUUGUUGAGAUUUUAGAGAGGAUGAAUGAAGGGAUAGUAUGAUGACCUGGUCCACGAAGUGCACGUAACAAUGUAUCUGACCUCUCUUUAGCAGGGAGAACAUACAUUACGGAAACUAGUAAGUCAACACAAAACGAACACAUCAUAAGCUACAUUUCGGAAAAUAAUACAUCACAAAAACUACGAUAUUAUAAAGAAGCCAAUGAUACAUAAAUCCCAACUUCAACAAAUAGUAAAUAAUAAUUUAGUACUUCGUACUUAGGUGAUCUCUCCCUUGCUUUCAUUACAAUAAAAAAUUAAGAGUUGCAGACCCAGAUGAGCCAGCAUCAAGACCCUUUCUUUGCACACAAAUGUGUUCCGUCACUGAAUGCCUUGGCGCUCCACCCUUUCUUUGCUUGCAGAAGAAGAUACUCUGCGGAAUAUGAACAAACUGAACUCAUAAUUUACAAUGCGGCAUCUUGAAAAAUAUCAGGCACGUUAGGCGGCGGCUAAUAUACUCAGCCAUCACCUGCUAAGGACAUGACAAUUCAUUAAGACUACCAUUAGAAAGCAGAGAAAAUAUUUGAUUGCUUCUGUGGAAAGAGUUGAUCGAAUGGUCUCCUGAUGCACCAGAUGUUCGACUUCACCUUACUCUCUUCAGAAGGUUAGGCAUGCAAAACCAAGACCUCGUUUGGUUUCCUCACCAUUGUUUAGUUUCUUUUUUGAAAUACAAAUUCCAUGCAAUGGCGAGAAGGGCUUUAUUUUAAAAAGGGAGGGAGGAUUUUCUUUUUCAAAUACAAGUUUCUAAUGUACUCAAUCUAUAUAACUAGCGGUCUUUGUUUGGUAACAAAAAUAAAAUUCAGCAGUAACCUUUGUUUUUCACUCUUUUAUUUUGGCAUUGAAAAAGAAGAUGCCAUUACGAACACAACCAAUGUUGCGGUGCGUAGCAAGCUUACCAACAAAGACGAAAAGGGAGAAAUUCGUCCACCAAAGCAUCCUAUCACACAGAAAUUGCAUUUGGAAAACAAAAAAAAGGGCAGUGAUACCAAACGAGGCCUAAAGUGGAGUUCCUAUGUGCAAUAGCUGAAUGUUUUCCAUACUGAUGGUAAAUGUGCACCAGCAUCAAGCCAACCUGCAGAAUGAACUUAAUAAACUCUCUCUCAGAUAAGUGUCUUUGAAAAGAACCUGAAGAAGAUCAGCAGGAAAUGUUUAGAGAGUACAUUAUCAUCAAGCAACUCACCAUACUCUUGCUGGUUAGAAUUAUAUGAGUCUUUCUGAUAGGACAGCAGCACCUAUCAGAGCGAAAAGGCACACCAGGGAAAGGAAGUCUGUAAAACCAAGUGAAGACUUGGAAAAGAAGUAAAUUUUGUGAGUGUUGCUGUCACCAUGGAAACCUCUAGCAAUCAUCGCCUGCCAAAGUCACAUUAGGAGACCCAAGCAUUAUGAUUAGAGUAAAUCAUGCAAAGCUAGAGAACAGCUUUUUAAUUUACCAGUAUCUCUAUAGAGUCAUCAUCCAUAUAUAAGUCCAACUAACUAUACCGUAAAUGUGUGACUAAGGAUCACCACCAGCUUAGCUCUUUCCGUAUCCUACUUUCAUCAUGCUAAGUUUAACCAACUACUUAGCACUGUUAAAAGCUUAAUAUCAAACUUGUAAUGUUCUUUUUUUAACACUUCCUAAGGGUUAAAGUUUCUUUACCAUUUUCUUUUAGAUUCUAAUCUCUUCACUGAACUACCUAUGCCUAAAUAAUUUCUUUCUUGAUUCUCCUUCCUGUUAGCCCACUUAGUGAAAGCACUCCUAUGGGCUCCCAGGCUCCAAAAUAGGACAGGCUUACUCCAAUUUAUUCGUAUGUAGCACAUUUUGUUGGUUCCCUUGUCAAUACACAUCAAAGAAUCCCACUCCUAGGCCUAUAUUGGUUUCUGAUGCGAAGUUAAAGCAAGAAAAUGAUGCCUUUAAUCACAAGCUAUGUUGUGCAGACACGGACACUAGAUACAGAUAUGACACAACGUGGAUACAACGAUACAGCAAAUUCUAAGAAUCUUAGGAUAUGAUACUUAGAAGAUAUGGUGAUUUUUAUAUUAUCAUUAUAUAUGAUAAUAUACAUUAAAAAAGUUUAGAAUCUUUGGAUGAUUAGUUAAGGUAAAACAAUAAACUGGUUGACUAGCUUAAAGAUAUAAACAUAGUCGACUUUUGUUCAUCAAAGAACAAAAUUAAUCAGACCAAAUGUAAUCUUUAGAUUUUCUCAACGACGAAUUCAUGCUGCAGGUGUCAUCUAACUGCAAAAUAACUUCCCCUAUCUUGCAAGAAUCCUAAGUCAAUCCGUCAAGUAUCUAUCUAGUAUUUAGCAAUUCUCUAAAAUUUCAAAAAUGUUGGACACUCUUAUGAAGUAUCCGACACAUCGGAGAUGUAUCACAUGAGUAUAAGUAUUUGAUACAUAUCCGAUACGAUACAACAAGUAAAAUGAAGUAUUUGUGCAUCAUCAAUCACAAGUAAGAUACCGACAAUUAAAUGGGCUUAACAAGGAUUCUGCAGAAAUUUUUCCGGGCCACUCUAUUCUGAUGAUUGACUAGGUGCAAAUUACCUUACAAUUAAUAUCUAGGAGCAGAGCUAUAUGAAGACAUGAGAUGGACCAAUUCUCUUUAAGUUUAGUAGCCCUUGGGGGCCAUUUAGUUUGAUGGUCCUGCAAAUACAAUGAAAUUAGAGAUGCAUGUAAUUGAAGAUGCAGUACUUGUAUUUGCAUCUGGCCCAUUUAGUGGGAUAUAGCUGAAAGCAGAAAGUGAUACAACUACAAAUUUUCUGUUUGAUUGCUUGUAGUUAGAAGUUGUAUUUAUAGAUUUUGUCAUUUUAUAUGUGAAAUGGUGAGAUUACCCUAAACAAUAGAAGUUCAUAAUUUUUUAUAUUUUUAAGAGGCGGGUAGUACGAUUACGCUUGUAAAGAAUUAUUCUAUCCAACUGUUGCAUCGUCAACUCUGUCCAGUCUGGUGUAGGUUGAAAUGCAACAAUUGGGCCUUCUUAAGCAGGUCAAACUACACCAUAUAGAUGCAACUACAACAACCAAAAGGAACUUUUGGACUUGUCAGUAGUUGCACUUACAAAACAGACUGAAAUGCAAGCAAUCCCUUAAUAUGGAGAAAGUGGAGGGCUAGAUCCACAUUGUAAGUGAAAGAAUAUGAGUUACAUAAAACUAAAAAAGAGUACACCCAAGUGGUUGUUGCAGUUUCUAUGUUAUGAGAGAUCAUGAGUUCAAUUCCCAAAUCAUUCAUUCUUUUUUUUUUUUCUUUAAUAUUUGAGUGUAGAUUGUUCUUUAAUAAUUGUUGGCUUAUCCUCUCUUUCUCUUUAUAUAUUUCUGAACAUUUUUUUUUCAAAUGAAAAAUUUUAAAAAUGCUCUUUUUAAAAAAAAAAUAAAAAUCUUUUGUGAUGACUGGAACCAUUUAAGGCCUAUUUGGAUGUUAGAACGGGGAGGUGUGGAGGGGUGUGUUGGAGAUUUAUGUUUCAAGAUUACAACUUAGGAGUUUGGUGUUUAGCUAUUUUAUUUUCAUAAUUAUUCAUUAUCUUUGAGGAUAGUACAUUCCAAUGUCUGCCACCACAAACGAACUGGCCCCGCUACAAGCUUUUCUUCGACGAGUGAUCAUUCAUAGUAGAGAUUAAAUCUAUUUAAAUUUUAUUUUGAAAUUAGGAUUAUAGGUUCAUAGCUUCCAGCAGACUCAAGAAUCUGCUAUUAAUUACCCCACACUUUCAGUGUUAAGAAACCCUCGAUUAAGAGACCAAAUUUAAUGCCGAUGAUAGAAAGAGACCAUAGUAUAAAGAUGAACUUGUAUUGAUAUAAUUUUCAAGUACAUGGCUUAAGCAGGCGCAUACGCCCACUGUACAUUAGUGAAAUACUCAGUUUAUGGAUUUGGCGAUCAUUUGGAAUUAGGUUGCUUAGUUUAACUGUUAGUGAUAUAUCCUAAAGCCAAUCGGUGACAUAGGCUUGUGAACAUAUUAAGUAUUUUUCUUAUUUAAUAAAGGGUAAGUUUUAUUCAUAUUUAUUGUUAGCAGUACAAUAUAUUUAUAUGAAUCAUCCAAUGAAUCUUCGUUAAGAAAAUAUAUUCCUAAGAGUUAGGAAUUUGAUAUAUAUAUUUCUUUGUACAAGAUUCUUAAACGCUCCUAGCCAUAGGAAUAUCAUAAGGACGAUGAUAUUUCAGAAUAGNNNNNNNNNNNNNNNNNNNNNNNNNNNNNNNNNNNNNNNNNNNNNNNNNNNNNNNNNNNNNNNNNNNNNNNNNNNNNNNNNNNNNNNNNNNNNNNNNNNNNNNNNNNNNNNNNNNNNNNNNNNNNNNNNNNNNNNNNNNNNNNNNNNNNNNNNNNNNNNNNNNNNNNNNNNNNNNNNNNNNNNNNNNNNNNNNNNNNNNNNNNNNNNNNNNNNNNNNNNNNNNNNNNNNNNNNNNNNNNNNNNNNNNNNNNNNNNNNNNNNNNNNNNNNNNNNNNNNNNNNNNNNNNNNNNNNNNNNNNNNNNNNNNNNNNNNNNNNNNNNNNNNNNAGAUAAUAUUCUAAUUAGAUUAGAUUUAAAUAUGAAUAUUUAAUUAUAAUUUAAUGGAUAAGAUCUAAUUAAAUUAAAGAGAGAAAUAAUGAUAAAAUAUCCAUAAAGGAUGAGCAUAAAUUUACUUUUACUUAUCCUAUAUGGCAACUAAUUG
This 28625-nucleotide long non-coding RNA is filed under the name Ananas comosus (pineapple). Its description in RNAcentral is "long non-coding RNA (ACOM_LNC023052)". The record is from RNAcentral. Lineage: Eukaryota; Viridiplantae; Streptophyta; Magnoliopsida; Poales; Bromeliaceae.